GCAUCUAAGCACGAAACUUGCCCCGAGAUGAGUUCUCCCUGAGACUUUAAGUCUCCUGAAGGAACGUUGAAGACGACGACGUUGAUAGGCCGGGUGUGUAAGCGCAGCGAUGCGUUGAGCUAACCGGUACUAAUGAACCGUGAGGCUUAACCUU
RNAcentral lists this ribosomal RNA (154 nucleotides) under Klebsiella pneumoniae. RNAcentral's name for it is "partial 23S ribosomal RNA". It matches the Rfam family "Bacterial large subunit ribosomal RNA", at positions 2777 to 2925 of the family's 2925-position model. Lineage: Bacteria; Pseudomonadati; Pseudomonadota; Gammaproteobacteria; Enterobacterales; Enterobacteriaceae. The record is from RNAcentral.